AGGAAACAACCAGAAGUCAGCCUUCUGCAGCCUGCCCGAGGGCUCCACCAGAAGCUGACCAUGCGGCCACCAGGACCUCGGACUGCUGGCUCCCAGCACUGAAGCUAUGUGCCCAGCAGUAAGUCAGAGGUUUCAUAUGAAGGAGUAAGGCGAAAACAACUGUGACAGGACAGCGAGCUUUCUCUGCUGUAUCUCCACAAAAGGGGAGCCUGGCUGAGAGUAAAGCCUGUCCAGAAGGAGCAGUGUUGGAAGAUGAAAAUCAACCAGUCUUCCCCCAGUGAUGUCUUUGCACCACUGAAGCCAAACUACCCUGCUCCUGAAGGGCAUAAUAAGCAGUUGCUACCAGCCUGAUGCAAUUAUGCCUGGGAGCACCAUGGGGACUCCUAAAACUUCUGAAGCCCAAGGUCAAAUUCUACACAUGUCCAGACUCUCUGUCUACCAUGCCCUCUGCUCCUGGUGGCUGACCUGGAUGGGUGACACCCACAUUGUCCCCACCCUCUGCCUGCUGGCUGGGGUUGUUCAAUGGCGAGG
Molecule: long non-coding RNA, 531 nt
Organism: Molossus molossus (Pallas's mastiff bat)
Lineage: Eukaryota; Metazoa; Chordata; Mammalia; Chiroptera; Molossidae
Exons: 4
Source: RefSeq, a predicted model, not a curated record